RNAcentral lists this ribosomal RNA (265 nucleotides) under uncultured archaeon. RNAcentral's name for it is "partial 16S ribosomal RNA". It matches the Rfam family "Archaeal small subunit ribosomal RNA", at positions 718 to 982 of the family's 1478-position model. The record is from RNAcentral.
AGUCACUGACAUUAGAUACCCCCGUAGUCCAGGGUGUAAACGCUGCAGACUUGGUGUUGGGAACCCUUCGGGGGUGUCCAGUGCCGGAGAGAAGUUGUUAAGUCUGCUACUUGGGGAGUACGUCCGCAAGGAUGAAACUUAAAGGAAUUGGCGGGGGAGCACCGCAACGGGAGGAGCGUGCGGUUUAAUUGGAUUCAACACCGGAAAACUCACCAGUGAAGACUGUUACAUGAAAGCCAGGCUGAUGACCUUGCUAGAUUUUCAG